CCAUGCAGUCGAGCGGUAGCACAGAGAGCUUGCUCUCGGGUGACGAGCGGCGGACGGGUGAGUAAUGUCUGGGAAACUGCCUGAUGGAGGGGGAUAACUACUGGAAACGGUAGCUAAUACCGCAUAAUGUCGCAAGACCAAAGUGGGGGACCUUCGGGCCUCAUGCCAUCAGAUGUGCCCAGAUGGGAUUAGCUAGUAGGUGGGGUAACGGCUCACCUAGGCGACGAUCCCUAGCUGGUCUGAGAGGAUGACCAGCCACACUGGAACUGAGACACGGUCCAGACUCCUACGGGAGGCAGCAGUGGGGAAUAUUGCACAAUGGGCGCAAGCCUGAUGCAGCCAUGCCGCGUGUGUGAAGAAGGCCUUCGGGUUGUAAAGCACUUUCAGCGGGGAGGAAGGCGAUAAGGUUAAUAACCUUGUCGAUUGACGUUACCCGCAGAAGAAGCACCGGCUAACUCCGUGCCAGCAGCCGCGGUAAU
RNAcentral lists this ribosomal RNA (479 nucleotides) under Klebsiella pneumoniae. RNAcentral describes it as "bacterial SSU rRNA". It matches the Rfam family "Bacterial small subunit ribosomal RNA", at positions 53 to 524 of the family's 1533-position model. The record is from RNAcentral. Lineage: Bacteria; Pseudomonadati; Pseudomonadota; Gammaproteobacteria; Enterobacterales; Enterobacteriaceae.